Molecule: ribosomal RNA, 251 nt
Filed under: uncultured bacterium
Lineage: Bacteria
Description: partial 16S ribosomal RNA
Rfam family: Bacterial small subunit ribosomal RNA
Source: RNAcentral
ACGUAUGGAGCAAGCGUUAUCCGGAUUUACUGGGUGUAAAGGGUGCGUAGGUGGCAGUGCAAGUCAGAUGUGAAAGGCCGGGGCUCAACCCCGGAGCUGCAUUUGAAACUGCAUAGCUGGAGUACAGGAGAGGCAGGCGGAAUUCCUAGUGUAGCGGUGAAAUGCGUAGAUAUUAGGAGGAACACCAGUGGCGAAGGCGGCCUGCUGGACUGUUACUGACACUGAGGCACGAAAGCGUGGGGAGCAAACAG